AGUGAACGCUGGCGGUAGGCCUAACACAUGCAAGUCGAACGGCAGCACAGUAAGAGCUUGCUCUUACGGGUGGCGAGUGGCGGACGGGUGAGGAAUACAUCGGAAUCUACUUUUUCGUGGGGGAUAACGUAGGGAAACUUACGCUAAUACCGCAUACGACCUACGGGUGAAAGCAGGGGAUCUUCGGACCUUGCGCGAUUGAAUGAGCGGAUGUCGGAUUAGCUAGUUGGCGGGGUAAGGGCCCACCAAGGCGACGAUCCGUAGCUGGUCUGAGAGGAUGAUCAGCCACACUGGAACUUAGACACGGUCCAGACUCCUACGGGAGGCAGCAGUGGGGAAUAUUGGACAAUGGGCGCAAGCCUGAUCCAGCCAUACCGCGUGGGUGAAGAAGGCCUUCGGGUUGUAAAGCCCUUUUGUUGGGAAAGAAAAGCAGCAGGUUAAGACCCCGCUGUUCUGACGGUACCCAAAGAAUAAGCACCGGCUAACUUCGUG
This 492-nucleotide ribosomal RNA is filed under the name uncultured bacterium. Its description in RNAcentral is "partial 16S ribosomal RNA". It matches the Rfam family "Bacterial small subunit ribosomal RNA", at positions 29 to 507 of the family's 1533-position model. The record is from RNAcentral.